Molecule: ribosomal RNA, 253 nt
Filed under: uncultured bacterium
Lineage: Bacteria
Description: partial 16S ribosomal RNA
Rfam family: Bacterial small subunit ribosomal RNA
Source: RNAcentral
UACAGAGGGUGCAAGCGUUAAUCGGAAUUACUGGGCGUAAAGGGCGCGUAGGUGGGAUGAUAAGUCGGAUGUGAAAGGCCUGGGCUUAACCUAGGAACUGCAUCUGAUACUGUGAUUCUAGAGUGAAACAGAGGGUGGUGGAAUUUCCGGUGUAGCGGUGAAAUGCGUAGAUAUCGGAAGGAACACCGGUGGCGAAGGCGACCACCUGGGUUUUUACUGACACUGAGGCGCGAAAGCGUGGGGAGCGAACAGG